RNAcentral lists this ribosomal RNA (279 nucleotides) under uncultured bacterium. RNAcentral describes it as "partial 16S ribosomal RNA". It matches the Rfam family "Bacterial small subunit ribosomal RNA", at positions 506 to 784 of the family's 1533-position model. The record is from RNAcentral.
UGCCAGCAGCCGCGGUAAUACGGAGGGUGCAAGCAUUAAUCGGAUUUAUUGGGCGUAAAGAGUGCGUAGGCGGAGAUGCAAGUCAGAUGUGAAAUCCCAGGGCUUAACCCUGGGGCUGCAUUUGAAACUCCAUUUCUUGAGGUUAGGCGGAGAGAACGGAAUUCCACAAGUAGCGGUGAAAUGCGUAGAUAUGUGGAAGAACACCUGUGGCGAAAGCGGUUCUCUAGCUUAAACCUGACGCUGAGGCACGAAAGCUGGGGGAGCGAACAGGAUUAGAUA